AAGACUAGGAACACCUGUACCUUAUACACUAAAAAAACUUUUCGCCUAAGUGAAAAGACUUAGAUAAUGAAGGAAGACGAAAAGACCCCGCGGAACUUUACCUUCUCCCACUCCCCUGCCCAGAAGCACAAAAGACCAAAG
Molecule: ribosomal RNA, 141 nt
Filed under: Sinohyriopsis schlegelii
Lineage: Eukaryota; Metazoa; Mollusca; Bivalvia; Unionida; Unionidae
Description: partial 16S ribosomal RNA
Source: RNAcentral